UUUAGAGCUUUCAAAACUAAA
Molecule: non-coding RNA, 21 nt
Filed under: Caenorhabditis elegans
Lineage: Eukaryota; Metazoa; Nematoda; Chromadorea; Rhabditida; Rhabditidae
Source: RNAcentral